RNAcentral lists this ribosomal RNA (292 nucleotides) under uncultured bacterium. RNAcentral describes it as "partial 16S ribosomal RNA". It matches the Rfam family "Bacterial small subunit ribosomal RNA", at positions 773 to 1060 of the family's 1533-position model. The record is from RNAcentral.
GUGGAUUAGAUACCCGGGUAGUCCUAGCCCUAAACGGUGUGCGCUUGCUGUAAGAGGAAUCGACCCCUCUUGUGGCGAAGCUAACGCGAUAAGCGCACCGCCUGGGGAGUACGGUCGCAAGAUUAAAACUCAAAGAAAUUGACGGGGGCCUGCACAAGCGGUGGAGUAUGUGGCUUAAUUCGAUGCAACGCGAAGAACCUUACCUGGCCUUGACAUGCAAGUGGUAGAACCAUGAAAGUGGGACGAUCCCGCAAGGGAAGCUUGCACAGGUGCUGCACGGUCGUCGCCAGCU